UAGAGUUUGAUUCCAUGGCUCAGAUUGAACGCUGGCGGCAGGCUUAACACAUGCAAGUCGAGCGGUAACAGGGGGUGCUUGCACCCUGCUGACGAGCGGCGGACGGGUGAGUAAUGCAUAGGAAACUGCCCAGUAGUGGGGGAUAGCCCGGGGAAACCCGGAUUAAUACCGCGUACGCCCUUCGGGGGAAAGCAGGGGAUCUUCGGACCUUGCGCUAUUGGAUGUGCCUAUGUCGGAUUAGCUAGUUGGUGGGGUAAAGGCCUACCAAGGCGACGAUCCGUAGCUGGUCUGAGAGGAUGAUCAGCCACAUCGGGACUGAGACACGGCCCGAACUCCUACGGGAGGCAGCAGUGGGGAAUAUUGGACAAUGGGGGCAACCCUGAUCCAGCCAUGCCGCGUGUGUGAAGAAGGCUUUCGGGUUGUAAAGCACUUUCAGUGAGGAGGAAAACUAUGCGACUAAUACUCGUAGGGCUUGACGUACUCACAGAAGAAGCACCGGCA
This 501-nucleotide ribosomal RNA is filed under the name Marinobacter adhaerens. RNAcentral's name for it is "bacterial SSU rRNA". It matches the Rfam family "Bacterial small subunit ribosomal RNA", at positions 1 to 498 of the family's 1533-position model. The record is from RNAcentral. Lineage: Bacteria; Pseudomonadati; Pseudomonadota; Gammaproteobacteria; Pseudomonadales; Marinobacteraceae.